GGAAGUAAAAGCGUAACAAGGUUUCCGUAGGUGAACCUGCGGAAGGAUCAUUAUCGUACAAAAUGUGAGGGGCAUGCGAGGGCUGUCGCUGACCCAAAAGUCGUGCACGCCCGAGUGUGCCCUCUUGCAUAAUAAUCCAUCUCACCCUUUGUGCAUCACCGCGUGGGCACCCUUCGGGAUCAUCUCGGAGGGGGGCUCGCGUUUUCACACAAACCACCCUUUUAAAAGUGUAGAAUGACCACAUUUAUGCAAUCAAUACAACUUUCAACAACGGAUCUCUUGGCUCUC
RNAcentral lists this unclassified non-coding RNA (288 nucleotides) under plant metagenome. Its description in RNAcentral is "partial contains small subunit ribosomal RNA, internal transcribed spacer 1, and 5.8S ribosomal RNA". The stretch from base 1 to 53 matches the Rfam family "Eukaryotic small subunit ribosomal RNA", at positions 1778 to 1831 of the family's 1831-position model. The record is from RNAcentral.